GCUACUAUGUGCGUUUUCCUCGGCCCAAUAAACCAGCCCCUAAGCUAAUUACAGAUGCAGCAACGUGGAUGCUGCUGGGUGCUUUCUCUCCAAUAAUGUUGGACGUGGCAGGUUCUUCAAAGACGUGUUGGAUGCUGCUUCUUGAUGGACCAAGGCCGUAAGCUGCACCUCCUUUCUCUUCGUGGACCGUGUUUCCAUCAUUUGAAGAUUGGAUGCUGUUACAUUCUUUUCUCCAAGUUGGACGCGUAAUUGGUUGCUGGGCUGCUGCUGCAGAAGCUGGGCCGAGGCUUGCUGCUACCGUGAAGUGUUGGUUUUCACGGGCUGCACCUCCCAGUUCAACAAGUGGAGUGCAGGCUGUGAAUGUUCAAACUGCUGGACAAUGGGUGAAGGUGGAACUCCUGCUGCAGUGUGGAUGCAUGGGCCGUGAGUGAAUCUCUCGAAUUUGCUAGAUGAAUGCAAGGUGGACGUGCUGCUUUUGGGCCGUGAAGAAGCUUGCUAGCUGCAGCCGUUGCUGUUUGUAGUACCGUUUCCACAAGCUGCAGCUCCAAUUCACCUCCUUGCUUGCUGCAACCAUCACGUGCUGGACCAAGGCCAUGACAUCUUCUGCUGGUUUCCUAAAGCUUUGGGCCGUGGUGGUCUUGGUGAAGCUGGAUGCUGUUGUUGCACGUGAACAUGAGGAGCUGCUGCUUGCUUCCAGACUAGGCCCUGAAGUUGCUGAACAUUCCGUGUGCACCCCUCUCUGCC
This 744-nucleotide long non-coding RNA is filed under the name Vigna radiata. RNAcentral's name for it is "long non-coding RNA (VRAD_LNC016103)". The record is from RNAcentral. Lineage: Eukaryota; Viridiplantae; Streptophyta; Magnoliopsida; Fabales; Fabaceae.